Molecule: long non-coding RNA, 298 nt
Organism: Portunus trituberculatus (swimming crab)
Lineage: Eukaryota; Metazoa; Arthropoda; Malacostraca; Decapoda; Portunidae
Exons: 2
Source: RefSeq, a predicted model, not a curated record
CUCAGUUUGACUUUGGAAGCUCACAGAGACAGGAGCGUCCUUGACUUUGUGAUAUCAAACGACACAGACCCACUGAGCCGUUCCCGCCUUGACCUUCUCCUGGCUGUCUUGUGGAGGUACCUUACUUACAUAUAGGAAACAGAAGGUGAUUGUGUUCCCCGCAGACUAUUGUGAAGUAGAAGCCAUGUUCCUUUCCCUCUGCUCUGUUGGACUGGAUGGCUCAUUGGCUCACUGGUAAAAUUCUAGUCUUUAUCCUAGAUCUUUAUAUCUAGAGACUAGAACACCUGUAACUUUGUCC